This is a ribosomal RNA of Phytophthora infestans T30-4, 233 nucleotides long. The record is from RefSeq and is a predicted model, not a curated record. Lineage: Eukaryota; Oomycota; Peronosporomycetes; Peronosporales; Peronosporaceae.
ACCUGGUUGAUCCUGCCAGUAGUCAUACGCUUGUCUCACAGAUUAAAGCCAUGCAUGUCUAAGUAUAAACAAUUUUGUACUGUGAAACUGCGAAUGGCUCAUUAUAUCAGUUAUAGUCUACUCGAUAGUACCUUACUACUUGGAUACCCGUAGUAAUUCUAGAGCUAAUACAUGGCAUCAAUACUCCAACUUGCUUGUUCGGGGCGGGUAGCAUUUAUUAAGAUUGAAACCAA